This 253-nucleotide ribosomal RNA is filed under the name uncultured bacterium. Its description in RNAcentral is "partial 16S ribosomal RNA". It matches the Rfam family "Bacterial small subunit ribosomal RNA", at positions 524 to 776 of the family's 1533-position model. The record is from RNAcentral.
UACGUAGGGUGCGAGCGUUGUCCGGAAUUACUGGGCGUAAAGCGUGCGCAGGCGGUUUGCUAAGACAGGUGUGAAAUCCCCGGGCUUAACCUGGGAACUGCGCUUGUUACUGGCAGGCUUGAGUGUGGCAGAGGGGGGUGGAAUUCCACGUGUAGCAGUGAAAUGCGUAGAUAUCAGGAGGAAUACCGAUGGCGAAGGCAGGUCUCUGGGCUAUAACUGACGCUCAUGCACGAAAGCGUGGGGAGCAAACAGG